RNAcentral lists this transfer RNA (71 nucleotides) under Loxodonta africana (African savanna elephant). It matches the Rfam family "tRNA". Rfam says of the family: Transfer RNA (tRNA) molecules are approximately 80 nucleotides in length. Their secondary structure includes four short double-helical elements and three loops (D, anti-codon, and T loops). Further hydrogen bonds mediate the characteristic L-shaped molecular structure. tRNAs have two regions of fundamental functional importance: the anti-codon, which is responsible for specific mRNA codon recognition, and the 3' end, to which the tRNAs corresponding amino acid is attached (by aminoacyl-tRNA synthetases). tRNAs cope with the degeneracy of the genetic code in two manners: having more than one tRNA (with a specific anti-codon) for a particular amino acid; and 'wobble' base-pairing, i.e. permitting non-standard base-pairing at the 3rd anti-codon position. The record is from Rfam by way of RNAcentral. Lineage: Eukaryota; Metazoa; Chordata; Mammalia; Proboscidea; Elephantidae.
GCCGUGGUGGCUCAGUGGUAGAAUUCUUGCCUUCCAUGCAGGAGACCUAGGUUGGAGUCCCAGCCAGUGCA